This is a long non-coding RNA of Oreochromis niloticus (Nile tilapia), 668 nucleotides long. RefSeq lists it as uncharacterized. Lineage: Eukaryota; Metazoa; Chordata; Actinopteri; Cichliformes; Cichlidae. The record is from RefSeq and is a predicted model, not a curated record. The transcript has 2 exons.
UCCUGGCAACGUUUCAUACAGUUAAAAACAUUGGCUAACGUCUUUUGUUCUACAAGCUGGAAAUCGUCACUAACUGAAGAAAAUUAGCCGCUGAAGUGAGGAGUUGACGAUUAGACCUUGGUUUUAUCUAGUUAACAUUUAACCCGUUUAGUGUACGAUUUUAUUAUGAUUAGUAUUUGAGCAAAAUCGGGUUUUUUUUCCUAGUUGAUCUAAACUGAUUUGCUGUGAACAGCCUUGAUGGCUAACGCCAAAUACCUCUGAACAACUUGGCACAUUUCAAUGAUCUGACCAUGAGACGGAGCCCGACGAGACCCCUGAUUCUCAAAAGAAGAAAACUGCCUUUUCAUCAAAAUGCGACUGAUUCACAGCCUGGAGAAUCAGGCUCCAAAGAACCAUCAAAACCAGCUGCCACUCAGAGCUUUUCUGAUGGUAUCCGCAUCAUGGACCAUCCAUCCAUGUCUGAUACUCAGGUGGUUGUCAUUCCCGAAACAGCAGAAGUUCAAAGUGUUAUUGGGGCCCUCACAGCUAAAGACAAUGAAUGUGGUGCCCAGGGCCCAAACAAGCUCAUUCUUCUGAGUGGAAGUGGAAGUGACAACAAGUGGGACUAUGGACCUGAUUCUCAGUCUGCUGCUGAAGGGGCUGCUACAAGGAGUACAGAAGGACAUAAA